This 501-nucleotide ribosomal RNA is filed under the name Kinetoplastida sp. LDR2000. Its description in RNAcentral is "partial 24S ribosomal RNA". Lineage: Eukaryota; Euglenozoa; Kinetoplastea. The record is from RNAcentral.
UUUCGGGUCCAAACAGGCACACUCAAUCUCAAACCGCGCGCGGUCCGGACGGUGUUGGGCAUUCGUGUUGUGUGCACACCAUACGCGUUCCAAGAACGCUCCCUUUCAGUACGAGAGAAGUACUGCUAACGAAUAUCUUCUCCCUUGCGCGUCUGUUUGACUCCUUGGUCCGUGUUUCAAGACGGGUGAAGAUACCCCAUUUUCGAUGUCAACAUUGAGCAUCACUGGAAAGAUGCGGCUCGCUGCCCCGCCAGGUUUGACGCUAACGAGACAGUGCUCACACCUUUAUUCCAGCUCAUUUCACCAAUCUCCCGUGUCUGCACUUGAGUUUACCGAAGAGGUUUUGAGGUCUCCCCGGAGAAAUGCUUCAGGAGUGGUUUUGACCAAUGAAAUGGAGGCACUUUCAUUGCCAUUGUCACGACUUCAGGUUCUAUGUCACUCUCUUUCCAAAGUGCUUUUCAAACUUUCGCUCACGCUACUUGUUCGCUAUCGGUCUUCCUA